RNAcentral lists this ribosomal RNA (208 nucleotides) under uncultured bacterium. RNAcentral's name for it is "partial 16S ribosomal RNA". It matches the Rfam family "Bacterial small subunit ribosomal RNA", at positions 587 to 793 of the family's 1533-position model. The record is from RNAcentral.
GUGAGGUGUGAAAUCCCUGGGCUCAACCUAGGAACUGCAUUUCAAACUGGAUAACUUGAGUAUGUCAGAGGGUAUUGGAAUUUCCCCGUGUAGCAGUGAAAUGCGUAGAUAUGGGAAGGAACAUCAGUGGCGAAGGCGAAUACCUGGGAUAAUACUGACGCUGAGGUGCGAAAGCGUGGGGAGCAAACGGGAUUAGAUACCCUGGUAG